UCACUUUGGCAGUGAAUAUACUAAAAUUGGAAUAACACAGAGAUUAGCAUAGCCCCUGUACAAGAAUGACAUGCAAAUUUGUGAAGCAUUCCAUGUUUUU
This 100-nucleotide small nuclear RNA is filed under the name Cebus imitator (Panamanian white-faced capuchin). Lineage: Eukaryota; Metazoa; Chordata; Mammalia; Primates; Cebidae. The record is from RNAcentral.